AGGGGAAGAAGUUGCUUCCUCCAGAUUGAUCGAUCAAUUUCAUGUCAAGCUGCUGCUGCAAAUCUUGGAGUUAAAUGGGAUUUUUAAACUCUUGUAGAAUCAAAAAUUCUUUAGCUUUGGAAGAGACUGUUUUGGAAAGUUCUUCCUGUGAGGGGGUCCUAAGUCCAGGCUCAAAUCAAAGAUGGAGUUUACAUCCGGUUGCCAUGGAGAAAGGGGGAAAUACUCACCAUGAAGACCGGCUGAUAUGCCGUACCUUAGGAAGCAAAUUCACAGAUUUCUUUUGUGCUGUAGCCAUUGUGGGGAUGGCUGGACUGGGACCAGACAGAUGAUGGAAACACCAUGUUCAGCACCAGGGAAACAGCUUUGACAAGACCCUGAGGGAGACCCUACCCCCACCAGGGCUUAAGGUACCCACCAGAGCCCAGGACAAAUCCCUUUUCUCCAGCGGGAACAGGGGAGGCUUGAAGCAGGGUGCCCCAUAUCCCAGCUGCCUUAAGUGGACACUCAUUCCUAUCCCUCCCACCUCCACAGAUCAGAUGAGUGUAUGAACAAGCAGCUCAGAUGGUUCCUCUUCUGAAAGACUAAAUGGAGUUCUGCAGGGGGAUUUGCUGCAGUUCUACUCUGCAAUGCGGCUCCAUAAAAAGCAUGCUAGGGCUCUGUCAUCUCUGAAUUUCCACACCAAAUUGUGCUCACUUUACAGUUGCAGGUGGGGGUGAAACCUAAGCCCUAACUUUGGAUCCAGAUGUCAACACUCAUCAUUUGAGGGUGUUUCAGACCAUUAUAGUGAAGGUCCAGCUGUCAAACAAGGCUUAGAGGAGGAGCUACAAUAUCAUUUGAAGUGAAACUCACCAUUUAAAUGAGUUGUGACAAGCCAACAGAAGGCGUUCUUUAGGACAGCAUCUGCUCUUUUCUACAGACUCCGAAUUCAUCCACAUGGCACUUCUGAGUGACUAGCCCUUCUUUAAGGCUGUUGGAUAAACACUAAUAGUACCCCAUCUAUUUUAACCUUUACAUCAUCUCUUCUCUCCUCACCCUGACUCCCACUAAAUGCUGUUGAUGCUGGUGUGCUCAGAUCUGAGUCCAAGAAAGAUUAACUCCUAAAAUCCAGUUUUGGAACCAGAUGUGAGAAUGGCAAUGACUCCACAAGCUGUUUUAGCACGAUGCAGAAGAGGCAAAGUUUAUGCAUGAGGUCACAAUUCAGAGAGGGAAGGGUGAGGGCAGCAACAUACAAAACUCCAGGAAAGCUGAGAGCCCUGGAGGCCAUUCAUUUAAAUGUAUAGUGAAAGGGAGACAUGCAGAACAUGCCUAUCACGUUCUUAAAACAGAGAAGGGCUGCUAUAUCGAUUUAAAGGCACUUUUACUUUGUUCUUAGCAUUCUGAAGACAUUUAAAAGGUGCCAAGUCAAAGUUUUGACACCAAGACAGGAGGUUUAAGGGCUUGUCAGUCCUUGUAUUCCAGAACGAAUUAAGAGGGGAUGCUACAGCUCCCUUCACUUCUACACAACAGCCUUCACAACUCUUGUAUACAAUAUAGCCUGCUAGCAUGGAUUUAAACUAAAAACAUCAGAACUAAGCUCUCCCAGGGUGGAAGUUAGAGCUAGAUCAUUGUACUAUAAAAAUCCCCAGUUGUAUCUGUCACUGCCAGCUAGAGGGGUGGGUGGAGAGCUGAGCAGUCAAUGGCUGGGCCAGCUUGCUUUAGAAGAGUCACCUUUUCUGUAACUGGUGUCCAAGAUGUGGUGCUCAUGUCCAUUUCAGAUUAGGUGUGUGCACUUGCCCCAUGCACCAGUGUCAGAAGUUUUUCCCUUAGCAGUAUCCAUAGGGGGACAGGCUCUGACAUCCUCUGCAGUGGUGCAGCUGGCUCCCCCCCACCCUCAGGUCCUUCUUACCGGAAACUCCAACAGUGGGGAAGGAGGCUGAAUCCCCACGGAUUCCAGGAGUACCAUGCUGCUGGCCCAGAGGCCACGGGGUCAGUUGCGGUGCAGGUGAAGUCAACAGUACCACGGGUGUCAGGGCCUGUCCUGCUACCGGGGACUCCUGAUCAACAUCAGAGUUGUAAGCAGAAAGGAUGCUGCAGAGUGACCAUGACCGGCUGGCCUGGCAGCCCUCCUUCCCAGUGUGCCAGCUGCUGUGCCACAAGGCCAACCUGUCCAAUUGGGAUGAGUUUCUCCUGCAGGACCCUGGGGAUCUUCAGCAUUUGGCCAAUCUGCAGCAGACCAGUAAUCUACACCUCACAUGCUGCUUGACCUGUACUGGGAUCUAGAGCAGGACCAGGAGUUGGAGCAGGCUGGUCAUCAGUAAAAUCUCACUGAUCAAGGGGAUUUGUCUCAGUGACAGGUGCCAGCAGGCAGGUGACUGGUGACCCUGUUCCACUGACUGGUCGCAGGACUGGUGCCAAGGCAUUGGAGACAUGACCUCUUGGGCUUCUUGGCCAGGGCCAGGGAAGGGGAGGAGAAUCAGUGGCAGCUUGGGGACUGCACCAGCAGGGCACACUGCACUGCUCAGGGCCGAGUCAAACCUCUGCUCCAGUAAUGAGUCAGCACCGACUCAAUCAGGAGUGCCCAGAGAGGGAGGUCUCUCCUUUUUCAUUCUGGGUUUGAACAACUUACAGAUGUGACACUUGUAGCUUGUGUCCUCCUAGCCACCUUAAACAGCUAACGCAGCCUAGGGACAGGGCAUGAGUCCUGUCCAGGAGCAACUAACACUAAGGGUAAAUACUAAACUAUUUUACAAAGAAAUGGUGGUGAGACACACUGAACUAAGUGAAAGCUAGCCAAGGCAGCAAGCAGCAACUGAGGGUGGGGAGGAGCCAGUGGCACCCCUCAUACUGUGCCUUCUGGGUGCCAGCCAGUGCCUUACAGAUGCUAUUAUGGGAAAAAACUUCCAGCACCCGUGCAUGUGGCAAGCACACCCCCCAAAUAUGGAAUGGACAUGAGCAAGCACUCGAAGAACAGUGUAGUUCUGGCACUUCUGAGGGAGCAUGCCAGCAUCAGCCUGUACCCAGGGAAUGAAUUUGGCAUUUCAGAACUAGCUAACUUGGAAUGUAUUUUGGAAACAAUCUGAACAUGAACAGCAGCCAUGGCUCAGACAUUGGAGCACUUGGUUUGUUAGACAGCUGCAGCCUGAAGACAGACAGCUCUAGAGUAGUCCUCACUGUUGGUUUACAUCACUUUUGUCCCCUUCCCUCCACAAAGGUUAGCAGGGGCCAACUGUGCUGUGGAUGCUCUUUGUGGUGGGGGAGAAUACUUCCCCCUCAAUAGCAGUGAGCAGCAGUCCUUUCCUUCAAGGACUCACUAUGAACUGGAGUUGUAGGUGUGCAAAAAAGGAAAAAAACUC
Long non-coding RNA from Mauremys mutica (yellowpond turtle), 3332 nucleotides. RefSeq lists it as uncharacterized. The record is from RefSeq and is a predicted model, not a curated record. The transcript is spliced from 5 exons. Lineage: Eukaryota; Metazoa; Chordata; Testudines; Geoemydidae.